Molecule: long non-coding RNA, 313 nt
Organism: Myxocyprinus asiaticus (Chinese sucker)
Lineage: Eukaryota; Metazoa; Chordata; Actinopteri; Cypriniformes; Catostomidae
Exons: 3
Source: RefSeq, a predicted model, not a curated record
CCCAAAGCUCACUCCACGACCUGUGUGCCUGGGAAAACAGGAAACUGACAUCUUGGAAAAUUUAAUGUUUAUGGUUUUGAGCCAUUAGUAUGGGCUCGAUGCCCUGCUGUCUGCCACUGAUUAAAGGGACGUGUAUUAUCAGGCAAGCAAGGGCAAGAGAAGGGAAUAGGAUCAAGACACAAAGCAGUGUACUGUGACGAGGAGGAGUGCGUGGCCGGGCCGUGAUGGAGCAUGACCGGCGCUGAAUCAGUGGGAGAGCGAGAUAAGGGGCGGCCGGAGGCGCCGGUUCGAGAGAGAGAGAGAGAGAGAGACG